CCUACGGGAGGCAGCAGUGAGGAAUAUUGGUCAAUGGGCGCGAGCCUGAACCAGCCAAGUAGCGUGAAGGAUGACUGCCCUACGGGUUGUAAACUUCUUUUAUACAAGAGUAAAGUGAGGCACGUGUGCCUUUUUGUAUGUACUUUAUGAAUAAGGAUCGGCUAACUCCGUGCCAGCAGCCGCGGUAAUACGGAGGAUCCGAGCGUUAUCCGGAUUUAUUGGGUUUAAAGGGUGCGUAGAUGGGUGGUUAAGUCAGUUGUGAAAGUUUGCGGCUCAACCGUAAAAUUGCCAUUGAUACUGGCAGGCUAGAGUAUAGUUGAGGUAGGCGGAAUGUGUGGUGUAGCGGUGAAAUGCUUAGAUAUCACGAAGAACACCGAUUGCGAAGGCAGCCUACUAAGCUGCCACUGACAUUGAGGCUCGAAAGUGUGGGUAUCGAACAGGAUUAGAUACCCGUGUAGUC
This 460-nucleotide ribosomal RNA is filed under the name uncultured bacterium. RNAcentral's name for it is "partial 16S ribosomal RNA". It matches the Rfam family "Bacterial small subunit ribosomal RNA", at positions 338 to 795 of the family's 1533-position model. The record is from RNAcentral.